Molecule: ribosomal RNA, 567 nt
Filed under: uncultured bacterium
Lineage: Bacteria
Description: partial 16S ribosomal RNA
Rfam family: Bacterial small subunit ribosomal RNA
Source: RNAcentral
UGGGGAAUUUUGGACAAUGGGGGAAACCCUGAUCCAGCCAUCCCGCGUGUGCGAUGAAGGCCUUCGGGUUGUAAAGCACUUUUGGCAGGAAAGAAACGUCGCGGGUUAAUACCCCGCGAAACUGACGGUACCUGCAGAAUAAGCACCGGCUAACUACGUGCCAGCAGCCGCGGUAAUACGUAGGGUGCAAGCGUUAAUCGGAAUUACUGGGCGUAAAGCGUGCGCAGGCGGUUCGGAAAGAAAGAUGUGAAAUCCCAGAGCUUAACUUUGGAACUGCAUUUUUAACUACCGGGCUAGAGUGUGUCAGAGGGAGGUGGAAUUCCGCGUGUAGCAGUGAAAUGCGUAGAUAUGCGGAGGAACACCGAUGGCGAAGGCAGCCUCCUGGGAUAACACUGACGCUCAUGCACGAAAGCGUGGGGAGCAAACAGGAUUAGAUACCCUGGUAGUCCACGCCCUAAAACGAUGUCAACUAGCUGUUGGGGCCUUCGGGCCUUGGUAGCGCAGCUAACGCGUGAAGUUGACCGCCUGGGGAGUACGGUCGGCAAGAUUAAAAACUCAAAAGGAAUU